GUGACAUUUCUGCAAGUCGGUAUCCCAGAGUUUCUCUUGGGGGUAGCGGGCUCCUGGCCGGCCCAAUGAGCUGGUCCCUGAGAACCCAGAUCUCAAGUAGAGACUUCAUUUCUUCUUCCUCUCACAAGCCAAAUUUGCCUCCACCCACUCCUUCCUCCAAAGAACUGGGCAUUUGCCAAAGUAAUCACUGGAGUCAUCCAAUGCCCCUCCCCUCCCCAGGUUUCCCACAGCUUUCAGGGAUAGUGGGCAAGAGGACCCCCCACCCCGACACACCCCCCCCACAAUGGAACACGACAUUUCUCCUCCCCCUGAGCAGUGCACUCAAUGCAGCGAGACUGACUCCUGACCUUUAUCCAGCCCUUCCCACCUUGAACAGGAAGGAAGUAAUGCACCUUCUCUCGCUGAUUAUUUAUUUGUUUGGAGAGACAGAAAUGAU
Molecule: long non-coding RNA, 436 nt
Filed under: Androctonus crassicauda
Lineage: Eukaryota; Metazoa; Arthropoda; Arachnida; Scorpiones; Buthidae
Source: RNAcentral